This 180-nucleotide small nucleolar RNA is filed under the name Bos grunniens (domestic yak). RNAcentral describes it as "Small nucleolar RNA SNORA73 family (ENSBGRG00000006922.1)". It matches the Rfam family "Small nucleolar RNA SNORA73 family". Rfam says of the family: U17 (SNORA73A and SNORA73B) also known as E1 belongs to the H/ACA class of small nucleolar RNAs (snoRNAs). Vertebrate U17 is intron-encoded and ranges in length from 200-230 nucleotides, longer than most snoRNAs. It is one of the most abundant snoRNAs in human cells and is essential for the cleavage of pre-rRNA within the 5' external transcribed spacer (ETS). The record is from Rfam by way of RNAcentral. Lineage: Eukaryota; Metazoa; Chordata; Mammalia; Artiodactyla; Bovidae.
CAAAUCUGUAUUCAGGAGGUCACUCUACCUAGGCUCUAAGUGGUGUACAGGAGCGUGAUGUGCAAUCCCUUUCCACAAUGUUGGGGUGAAGCGGGCAUUGCAACUGCACCUGCAUAUUCCUACAGCUUCUCAGAGUCCUAUGGACAAUGACUGAGAAGACAAACCAUGCAGGAAGCAUCU